AUCUGCACUGAAUCUUCUCUUCAUGCAACAUAUCAUCUAAAACUUUGUAAUGCACAACAAGGUCAAAACUUUCCUGAAUACGUAAAAUUACGAUUUCCUUUCACUAUGCGUAAACCAUCAAGAAUGUCAGUGCUGUCCAAAUGGUAAUGAAUGGAAGGAGAAUUGAAGACAUCACUCUUGUUGAAGCAUUUGGCAGCCAUGGAUAUGCAUCUGGUGGUGGCAUCACACAGUUGUCACCAUUGAAGUAUACACGUCUUGGGAAGGCCCAGCCUUUCUCAAAGGUGAAACUCUUGGGGUCCUUCUUGAACAGAAGCUCAGACUGAACAUUUCCAUCUGGACCCGCCGUCAUGAGCAAGUCAUUGUAGUACUUGAUUCCCCAUAACAUCGCGGGCUUACUUAUUACUCCAUAUGGGUUCAAAGAUUUGUAGUUGAAGCUGAAAAUGGUUGUCAGAUUGUCAAAACUGGGGUGCUGAGUGACUAGGUUCCACUGAGAGUAGUUCAUCCUGUAAUUGAAGUUUGUCACUGUGAUCUUGACCCUCCAGUACUCCUUGUAGUUAACCUUCACAUGCCAAUGAACUCUUAUUGGGCACAUAUGAGAAGUGCACUGGACUAGAGGUGUCAAGCUGUCCUUGUUAUGGGUGUUCACAACAGAAGCCAAAUAAGGAGAAUUUCCCCUGACACAGCUUCCUGGUUUAUUAUUCUGGCAGCCACAUGAGCAUGUUGGGCAGUUAACUAUGGUAUCAUUGUAAAAAGACGAGAGCGAAACGCAGCACGUCGGAGAUCUUUGCGCGACAAUCUGUGAAUAUGUGCAAGUCACAUUCCAUGUCAUGUGAGCCUGAGUUGUUCUCCUUCCAUCCUGCGAAAAAAACUUGGUAGGUCUCACAACCUUGGCACUGCCACAGGUAUACCCUGGACCUGGAGAUUUCAGGGUGAAAUUUCUCGGCACCCGCACCGUCUUGUUCGUCGUCCCUGCCUGACCAACACUGACUUGGAAUGAUGCUAUGGCAUUUGCAGGGUCCUGUGCCCACGAGUUGAGCACUCCUCCCUUGCAGCAGUUGGCAAUCUGCAUGUUGUAAGGGGUUCCCGGGAGCAGGUCCACGAUCUCAGGAUCUUUCUUGCAGCAAUGUGGGAUAUUUGAUUUGAACUUUGAGCAGUCGCCUUGCUCCGUCGCUUGGCCGCCGUUCAUCGCCCAGAUUAUCUCCUUCUUUGCCCACACCCAUCCGAGUUUCCAUCCGGGUGAUUGAAUGUGUCGAUACUGCUGAUAGUUGUAUAGUUUACUCACAACAUAUCCAUCUGGAGUCCAUUGCAGCACAUCCCACUUGAUUGUUAUGUUCCCAUUUGGAUCAAGCGGAUCGUAUGCCUCUG
Molecule: small RNA, 1365 nt
Filed under: Oryza sativa Japonica Group (Japanese rice)
Lineage: Eukaryota; Viridiplantae; Streptophyta; Magnoliopsida; Poales; Poaceae
Description: sRNA Os07g0604350
Source: RNAcentral